Non-coding RNA from Poecilia formosa (Amazon molly), 73 nucleotides. Lineage: Eukaryota; Metazoa; Chordata; Actinopteri; Cyprinodontiformes; Poeciliidae. The record is from Rfam.
GUUCCUGUAGUGUAGUGGUUAUUAUGUUUGCUUUACAUGCUAAAGGUCUCUGGUUCAAAACCAGACAGAAACA